Molecule: long non-coding RNA, 33917 nt
Filed under: Salvia miltiorrhiza (redroot sage)
Lineage: Eukaryota; Viridiplantae; Streptophyta; Magnoliopsida; Lamiales; Lamiaceae
Description: long non-coding RNA (SMIL_LNC007104)
Source: RNAcentral
CAACACUCAACUCAGCCCUUCUUCCUAAUGUUUUUCUUAGAUACCUCAGCUUGUGCUGCUCCAUGGCCUUAACGCGAUCUUUCCCACGAUGGAUUGGGCCUAUAGAGACUAAUUCGGGUUCAAAAUCCUUUUCAUUUACUUGCCUUAGGUGUUGAUAUACUUUGGCUAUGAUAGGCUUUGAGGGAGUGAGAGAAGUAGACAAUUGAUGAAGCAAGUUUUCAAUCUUAACAACAACACUGUCUCUCUCCUCUGUCAUCUUCAAGAAUUAAGCCAAGAAACCAGAAAUUAUAUAUGCUACAGAAGAAGAAAACACCAUAAAAAUAUUAAACAUGUAGCAAUCUACAUAGGUUCAUUUGUUAUUGAAACUUACAAGAUUAACAAAAUGUCGAGCAUACUUACUAGAUUAGGAGUAGGGAAUUUGAGUAGCUGAAACACGAAGCCAAAGCGUUGAUAUUGUACGUUGCUGCAGCUGAUUUCUUCUUGUUACAUUUCUUGUAAGAGAACUUUCAUCCCCUCUUAAUAUGCAUUAUUGGAGUAGUUUACAAAGCGAAUCUUGUGGCGGAAAUUAAGUCAAUUUCCAAGAACUUUACUUUAGAUAAAGAAAUUAAUGCUUAAGAAAUUUCAUGUGAAAUUUCGUGAAUGUGGGUUCGGUCAACGAAAUUGACGCCGACUGUGUGUCUUCACAAUUUUGCACUUUGGUCAACGAAAGUUGCAGGGAAAAUCAAAAUGAAAACAACAAGGGAAAAAUAUUUUUUUUAAAAACAUAAAUUAUAAAUAAAAUUAAAAUAUAAAUAUAUUCGGUUAAAUCGAUCAAUUCGGUCCGGUUCGACGGUUUUGAUUGCAAGUAGGGCUGGUUUCGCCUGAAUCGGCGGUUCACGGUUCACUGGAACCAGUCUGCCUGAGUAUAGAGGUUCAGGGUCCGGUUUGAACAAUCGAUUUUCGGGCCGAACCGGUUAUUUUUUUUUAAUAUUAAAUUUGAAUUUGAGUAUUGUGUAUAUUUUCACUCCAGGAUCAUCUAUUAGGCCUAAUUUAUCAAUGUUUCACUCCAUUUUCAACUCAGGGUGCGUUCUGUUUGUUUGUAAAUUUAUCAUGAGAAAAUGAAGGAUAAACAAAAUUUCACCCUUUAAAUCUUUCCUUUCUUUUUCCACAUAAACUCUGCCUCAGGCCGGCAUUCGCCUCAAACGGUCUAAACAAAACCUCCUCACUUUCAAAGCCAGAGUCCUCAAAUUCCCACCUCUGCAAGUCUCAGGCAAGACAGAGUCCCUUCUGAGGAACUUGAUGGCCUACGAGCAGCUCUGCCUCGAUGAUGAUCAUCCAAAACACGUGACAGACUACGCGUUCUUCAUGCAUUGCCUCAUCAGAUCAACGAAAGACAUUGAGAUACUGCGACGCAGUGGGAUCAUUAGUAACUACCCUACCUAGGAGGCGACGACAACAUCUGCCUAAUGUUUAACAGAUUGGGGACAAACUUUCUCAUCAGAUCAUCAGAUUUUUGCUACUCUGAUGUCUUUGUGAGCUUGAACAGGCAUUGUGGCCGCCGGCACAAGAAAUGGAUGGCGAAAUUGAGGCGAAACUACUUCAAUAGUCCGUGGUCCGUGAUCAAGUUCGUUGCUGCUGCAGUGCUGCUGCUGCUCACCUUAACACAAACUGUUUUUGCUAUACUUGCUUAUGAGCAGAGGAAUGAUGUGAUGAGAGUGCGUUUGAUUUCAAUGUGAUUCAACUAUGUAUGUAUGUAGGGAGAAAAUCAUUUGUAAUCUUAUCAACUGUUUAUCUAAUGUAAAAGAUUUGAGUAAAAAAUCACUUCAAAAAUUUGUUUUCCUUCAAAAAUUUCGUAGUAAAUUACCUUGGAAUUUUAGCUAGCAGUAAAAAUAAAAAAUAAAGUGGAAAAAAAGAAUCAUAAACUUCAACUGAUAGGCCUAGUUUAUGAUUCUUUCUUCUCAUUCUCAUUCACUGCAAACAACGGUAGCAACACAGUGCACCACACGUGCUCUGCCUCGGAGAUGGAGGAGGCCGGGAUUAGGCUACACGGGUCGAGAGGAAUCACUCUAAGGGAUAUCAGUUUUGCCAAUGGAGCCAUAAAACUCCCACCAUUAUGCUUAUCAGAUAAAACUGAGUCCAUGUUGAGGAACUUGAUCGUGUACGAGCUCUGCUUCUUCCCUGAUGAUCAUCCGAGGUAUGUGAAAGAUUACUUGUUUUUCAUUCAUUGUUUCAUCAGAUCCACCAAAGAUGUUGAGAUACUACGACGAAGUGGGAUCAUCAGCAACUUCCUAGGCAGUGAUGAGAUGAUCUGCAGCAUGUUCAACAGAUUGGGGAAGAAUGUUGUGGUUUCAUCAUCAGAUUUUUGCUAUUCAAAUGUGUUUGAGAGUUUGAACAGAUGCAAACGGCUUCGACGUGGGAGAUGGAUGGCAAGAGUGAGGAGGAAUUACUUGAAGAUAUCAGUUGCUGUGCUUCUCAUACUAGCAUUUUUUCACACAGUUGUUUGCUCUUACAAGAAAUGGUUACUCUUAUCUGCAAACAUGUUGUGUGUGUUUAGCUUGCAUGUAUAUCUUAAUCUUAAUAAAUAAUGAAUAUUGGCUUUCUUGAUUUUGUUUGUANNNNNNNNNNNNNNNNNNNNNNNNNNNNNNNNNNNNNNNNNNNNNNNNNNNNNNNNNNNNNNNNNNNNNNNNNNNNNNNNNNNNNNNNNNNNNNNNNNNNNNNNNNNNNNNNNNNNNNNNNNNNNNNNNNNNNNNNNNNNNNNNNNNNNNNNNNNNNNNNNNNNNNNNNNNNNNNNNNNNNNNNNNNNNNNNNNNNNNNNNNNNNNNNNNNNNNNNNNNNNNNNNNNNNNNNNNNNNNNNNNNNNNNNNNNNNNNNNNNNUCUGUCAAACAUGAGGCAGAUGUUGUCGUCCCUCCUAGGAAGUUACUAAUGAUCCCACUGCGUCGCAGUACCUCAAUGUCUUCCGUUGAUCUGAUGAGGCAGUUCAUGAAGAACACGUAGUCUGUCACGUGUUUGGGGUGAUCAUCAUCGAGGCAGUGCUGCUCGUAGGCCAUCAAGUUCCUCAGCAGGGACUCUGUCUUGCCUGAGACUUGCAGGGGUGGGAAUUUGAGGACUCCGGCCUUGAAAGUGAGGAGGUUUUUUUCAGACCGUUUGAGGCGAAUGCCGGCCUCGUUCAGCUCCGAGGCAGAGUUUAUGUGGGCUAAUGAGUUCCUAUGUUCACCUAUGUAAAGAGUUUGAGUUGAAAAUGGAGUUGAAAACAGAGAUGCUCUGUUUUGAUCAUGUUGAAGAGGUGGUUCAAGAAGGAGAAAGGGAGCUGGUUCUCAACAGCAUCAGGUCAUGUGUGAUCUGGCUGAGUGUCGUGGGCUCGAAGACGGGGUCUUUCUCUGUCGAGGCGUCGGAGACCUGCAUGUGCCUUCUCACGAGCUCGAUGAGGAAGCAGCCAUCAAGAAGCAGCAUUCUCACAAACUCAUCUGCAUCGACAUUUAGAGGUGUUGAGUAGCAUUGGAGGGCCAUCUCUGUUUUUUCACUCACUUUUUGGACCAGUUUUGCUAUGGUGAGAUCAUCUCUUCUCUGCAGAAGUUGCUGCAGAUACCUCAGCUUGUGCUGCUCCAUCCCCUUCAGAUGAGGUUUCCCUCGAUGGAUGGGGCCGAUAGCCACGAUCUUCGGUUCAUAAUCCUUUUCAUUCACUUGGCGCAACCGAUCAUCCACUUCAAAUAUUUUGGGUUGAAUAGUGUUGUUCAAAUUCUCAAUCAAACCUUGGAUGUUGCAAGUCACACUGUCUUCUCCAUUUGACAUCUGUGAGAACUCAGCCAAGAAAGAUGCCAAAGUUUCAAUGCCAGCAACUUUGAUAUAUAGAUGAGAAUUAAACCUGCAAGACGCGAUUAUUUGGACAAAAGCAUAGUCACAAUUUGAUCAAGAUUCAAGAUGGAGGGGAAAGACUCAAUGGUGUUUGCUGUUUCUAUACAUUCUUCGUGUGGAUCUAGAUUUAUAGAUAACAUCAGCUUAAGGCUAGGUGAAGAGCUAAACAACUUAACCAGAGUUUGAGAUUUUGAGUCCGAAACUACCAAGAAGUUUCUAUGCACGAGAAAUGUAAUUUCCUAAAGUUUUGGUGUUUUGGUACAUAUCUCAGGUUUGAGAAGACUAAAAAGACAAUGCUUGCAAAUUCACUAGGAAAUUUCGCAUGAACUUUCUCAAGCAUGAAGUCUUUCUAAAGUAUAGUUCUUGGAAAUUGAUUUAAUUUCUGCACCGAACGCUCACUUUGUCAAUACAAUAAUGAAAAGAGGGCAAAAAAGUUCUUUAAAAAUAAAAUAACACGAAGAAAUCUGCAGCAGCCAGGGGCAGGCCCCCAAAUUUUUAACUUCUUUUAAAAUUUUAUAUAUUUACUGAAUACGCCAACAAUUGUACUGAAUAAAAUAACUUUAUUGAGGGGAAAGUUUCACGAAGAAAUCAGCUGCAGCAACUUUUCUCGUCUAAGGAGCAACGCUUUGGCUUCAAGUUUCAGCUACUCAAAUUUUGUUUAUCUUGUAAGUUUCAAUAACAAAUGAACCUCUGUAGAUUGCUACAUGUUUAAUAUUUUUAUGGUGUUUUCUUCUUCUGUAGCAUAUAUAAUUUCUGGUUUCUUGGCUUAAUUCUUGAAGAUGACGAGGAGAGAGACUGUGUUGUUGUUAGAUUGAAAACUUGCUUCAUCAUUGUCUACUUCUUCACUCCCUCAAAGCCUAUCAUAGCUAAAGUAAUCAACACCUAAGGCAAGUAAAUGAAAAGGAUUUUGAACCCGAAUUAGUCUCUAUAGGCCCAAUCCAUCGUGGGAAAGAUCGCGUUAAGGCCAUGGAGCAGCACAAGCUGAGGUAUCUAAGAAAAACAUUAGGAAGAAGGGCUGAGUUGAGUGUUGAGAAAUGUGUGUUGGAAGUGAGGAGCAUGGAGGAAAAAGGCUCGCCUCUACUACGCGAAAACAAUCAGUCUUGAUCAAGAUGAGUUUGUGGAGAUGUUGCUUCUUGAUGGAUGCUUCGUGAUUGAGCUGCUGAGAAGCGUAUGGUUUAGUGAUUUGAGAGACAUGAGUGAUCAAAUAUUUCAAUUUAAUCACAUGUUAGUCCAAAUAAGGCAUGAUCUUCUGUUGUUGGAGAACCAGCUCCCUUUCUUCGUGUUGAACGAGCUUUUCGACAUGACAAGGAUGGAACAUCCAGACGAUAACAUACACCAUCUCCUCCUCUUUCUAGCCGGAGACGUGUUCCCAUGGCCGGAUUCCUCAAUGCUCAACUCGAGUUCAGAUAUGUUGCACAGUGCUGAGCAUCUAUUAGGCCUAGUGUAUGAUUCUUUCAUCUCAUUCUCAUUCUCAGCCAAGUGCUUCACUGAAAACAACGGUUGCAACACGGUGCACCACACGUGCUCUGCCUCGGAGAUGGAGGAGGCCGGGAUUAGGCUAAAAGGGUCGAAAGGGAUGAGUCUAAGGGAUAUCAGUUUUGCCAAAGGAGUCAUAAAACUCCCACCAUUAUGCAUAUCAGAUAAAACUGAGUCCAUGUUGAGGAACUUGAUCGCGUACGAGCUCUGCUUCUUCCCUGAUGAUCAUCCGAGGUAUGUGACAGAUUACUUGUUUUUCAUACAUUGUUUCAUCAGAUCCACCAAAGAUGUUGAGAUACUACGACGAAGCGGGGUCAUCAGCAACUUCAUAGGCAGUGAUGAGAUGAUCUGCAGCAUGUUUAAGAGAUUGGGGAAGAAUGUUGUGGUUUCAUCAUCGGAUUUUUGCUACUCAAAUGUGUUUGAGAGUUUGAACAGAUGUAAACGGCUUCGACGUGGGAGAUGGAUGGCAAGAGUGAGGAGGAAUUACUUGAAGUAUCAGCUGCUGUGCUUCUCAUACUAACCUUUUUUCAUACAGUUGUUUCUAUGCUUUCUUACAAGAAAUGGUAACUCUUUUCUGCAAAGUAAACAUGUUGUGUGUUGUAGCUUGCAAGUUUAUCUUAAUAAAUAAUGAAUAUUGGCUUUCUUAACAUGUUGUGUGUUGUAGCUUGCAAGUUUAUAUUAAUAAAUAAUGAAUAUUGGCUUUCUUGUUUUUGUUUGUAGGGUAAAUAUCACUUUAAACCUCAAACUAUUUUCGCACUAUCAAUUAUAUCCUGAACUAUCGAAAAUAAUUUUUUAAGCCUUGAACUAUCGAUUUUGUAUCAAUUGUAUACCACAAAGUAUAUGUUUUCAAAUAGUUUUAACUGUAAUUUUCAAUUUCUAAUAUUUUUUUGUUUUAAUUUUUGUAAUUUUCAAUUUUUAAUUUUUUCUAUUUUAAUUAUCACUAUUUCCGUCCCACAAUUUAGUAUCCAUAUUUUCAUUUUAAUCUAUCCUCUAAUUUAGUAUUCAUUUCUAUUUUUAGUAAAAGUACUCCCACAACCCUAUAAAAUGUUGGCAUCUUACCUUACUCCAAUUUAAUCAUUCUAACACUCUCAUAAAUCUGAGACACUUAUUCAACUUACAACACAUUCAACCACUUUAUUAAAAUUCGUGUCAUUCUCAAUCUCAAAUGGAUAGUAAAUUGUGGGACGGAGAGAGUAUAAUUUUUGAAUUUAAAUUAAUAAAAAUUUUAAUUUUAAAAUUCGAUAUUUAUUUUAAUCUUAAAAUAUACUCUCUCUCCGUCCAUAAUAUCGUUGUCAUUUUUAUCGUUUUAGUCCGUCUGCAAAAUCCUUGUAGAACCUAAACUCUAUUCACAACAAUAUUCACUAUUAUUAACUACUACUAUUUAUCACUUUUUUAAAAUCAAUGUCGUCCACGAAAUCGCAACGAUAUUGUAAAAGAAGGCAGUAUUAUUUUUGAUAAAUACUUUCUUCGUCCCUUCUCAAUUGACCUAGUUCUUUUCGACACGGUUAUUAAAGAGACUGAUAUUGUAGUGUAAAGUAAUAUAAAGUAAAUGAAUUCAUAUCUUUUGUAGUGAAAAUUUAUUACUAAAAAAAAUUGGUCAAGUCAGGUGGAACAGGCCGCAAAAAAAAUUAGGCAAAGAAAACUAGGCCGAGUGAGCUGAGGCGAAGGGUGUAAAAUUUAUAGAGUUCAUCAUUGAACCUCCGCCGCGGAUGGGGUGACUUGGAGCAACCACUAUGGGGGAAAGUUAGGAGGCAGUAAAAUUACUUCCUCCAUUGUGGGACCGUUUACGUUGGAAAGCAAAUUGAAGGAAGCAAAUCAAAGCAAGUGAAAUUGCUACAAGUAUAGCAAAUGGUGGCCCCCUUCUUUAAUUGUUUGAUUUGUUGUGCGUGUCUUUUGUUUGAGUGGAUCAAAUGCUGAAAUGUGUUUCGAAAUUCAAUUUUUUUUUUUUGACAAAAUGGCUUCGCAAAAUGUGUUUUGAAAUUUAUAUUUUUUUUGACAUAAUUAUAUUAAUUUUAAAUUAUACUCCCUCCGUCCCGGUCAAGACGCUAUAUUUGCUUUUCAGCAUGGGAUUUAAGAAGUUGUAGAUUAAUGUUUUAAGUGUGUAAUAAUAAAGUGAUAAAGUAAGAGAGAGAAAGUAAUAAAGUGAUAAAAUAAGAAAGAAAAAGUAAUAAAGUGAUAAAGUAGAAGAGAGGAGGCAAUAAAGAAAAUACUUAAUUAGUGUUAAUUAAGUAUUUAAAAUUCCUUAUUUUUGUCAAAUAUAGAAAUGUAGCAUCUUCGUUGGGACGGUCCGAAAAAGAAUAUGUAGCAUCUUGGGCGGGACGGAGGGAGUAUUUUUUUUAUUUAAAAAAUAAAUUUAUUUGUGUAAUUAUAUAAAUUUCAUUGAAGUAAAAUAUUAUACAAAAAAUAAAAUACAUAAAUAAUAUAUAUGUAUAUAUAUAGUGAUAAAUAUAAGUAAUAACGAUAGUGGGGUCCAUGAAUAAUUAAAUACUCCCGCCGUCUAUAAAAGAACUUCUUAGGAGGGAGUGACACAGAUUUUAAUAAAAAUUAUUGUUGAGUGUAUUGAGAGUGGAGAAAAGGUAGUUGUGUGUAUUGAGAGUGGUGAAAAAGUGUUAUAUUGAGAGUUGUGAAAAGUGAAAAGUAAAAGUAAUUAUAAGUAAUGGGGGAUAGUCCAAAAAUAGGUAGAAAUUUUUUUUGUGAACGUCCCAAAAAGAAAAGGUAGGAAGUUCUUUCAUGAACGGAUGAAGUAUGAAAUCGUGGCACAAUAAAGAAAAUAUGAAAUAGUUGAAAAAUAAGAUAGGACGUUGUUGAGCUGACAUACAUAGGAGUCAUAUGUAUGCUCUUAGGGUGGAUGCUCUUAGGGUGGGAACCACUGUUGAGUAGCAUCGUAGUGAUGCUCUUACUCUUAGGGUGGGAACCACCUCUACAUGGCCUGCAAGCUGUGAAUGCUAUUAUUUCUUUGUCAGAGUUUGCCUCAAUCAUUGACUUAGAUAAACAUCUCUCAUGCUUCAAAGAUACAGCACCUCAAAGCUUCAAAUGAUCCUUUAUGUGAGCUCACAUUUCACAUAGAUGGAAAAUUUCUGGAGGUUAGCAAAGUUACAGCAAGCAUACCAAGACGAGAUCUAUGGUAAGAUUUUCUUCAUAUAUAUCAGUUUUUUAAGCUACAACUCCAAAUCAUUACUAUGUUUUCUGUUUUAUCGGAUGAAAAUCACGAAUAUUUUUUAAGCAAACAUCUCUCUCUCUAUAACCCAUACACCCCUCCAAUCUUUCCUAUAUACAAAUGAAUCUGAUAGUUCAUUAUUUUUUUUACUUUUUCUGCAAUUUCGAUUUAUUGUGAUUUAAUUUAAUUUUUUAUUUAUUAGUAAUUAGGAUUUACCAAUUUAAUUAAUGCGUGUAAUUAGGAUAUAUAUAUAUAUAUAUAUAUAUAUAAUUUAUUUUCAUUUUGUUGUAAAAAAUAAUACGGAGUAAUAAUAUUUUAUUUCAAAAUAUUACCUUUAAUAAAAUUAUAUACUUAUUUGUGAAAAGUGAUAUAUAGAUUAGCCAUAAAUCUUUAGGAUAGAAUUACAUAAAAAUAAAAAUAAAAUUAUAGUAUAUUUUUUAUAUAUAUAAUUAGAACUAUGGGUUGGAUCUAGAUCGAGUCUGGAUCUCAUAACUCCUACUUCAUAUCUAGGUUCAAAAAUUUUAAGAAUAGUCCAAAUUCAGUUUAAAUUUAUCGAAUCUGAUUUUUGCAAGGUCCAAAUCCAAAAAAAUAGAAUCUGGUUCAAUAUUCACUAUCAUCCCUAAUAAGAGAACUAUGGGAUAUUGAGUUGGAUGAAAAUAUUUUAUGUGAAAAAUUAGUUUAAAUUUAUUAUUAUUAUUAUUAUUAUUAUUAUUAUUAUUAGAAGCUAUGUCUAAAAUGACCUCACCGAAAUAAUCGGCAACCCGUUUGAUCUUCUGUUUUCUUUUUGGGCUAUUUCCUUAUUCGUCUUUUGUUAUUUAUAAUUAGAUGGGCUCAAACUUAUGAGAGUCCAAGCUCAGCCCAAUAUUCUUCUUUUGCUGUUUUUAAUUGAAUGGGCUCGAAUUACUGAGGGCCCAAGAUCAAGCCCAAUAAUCUCAUCCUACCCAAAAUAUAACCCAAUUUAUGACCUAGAACUUAUGCUAGCGGUGGCAGGCCAAAUGGGAUCCUCUGUACCAAAAUAUAGUGUAUACCACGUGUACCACUUUUCAUUUUUUUAUAUUUUAAAAUUAUUUUUUAUUCAAUUUUAAUUUAUUAUGCUUUUAUAUAAUAUAAAGAUAAUUAACAAGGGUUCACUCAUCCAUUUAGGGUUUAUAAUUAUUUUUUUUAUAUUUAUUUGAAUUAAUAAUAGAAUAUUUGGGUUCAUUUAAUUCAAAGUUAGGGUAUAUAAUUUUUUAAAUUUAUUAUUUGAUGUGAAAAAUUAGUUUAAAUUUAUUAUUGUUAUUAUUAAAUUAGAAGCUAUGUCUAAAAUGACCUCACCGAAAUAAUCGGCAACCCUUUUGAUCUUUUGUUUUCUUUUCGGCCUAUUUCCUUCUUCGUCUUUUGUUAUUUAUAAUUAGAUGGGCUCAAACUAAUGAGAAUCCAAGCUCAGCCCAAUAUUCUUCUUUUGCUGUUUUUAAUUGAUGGGCUCGAAUUAAUGAGGGCCCAAGCCCAAUAAUCUCAGCCUACCCAAAUAGUUAGACCGGGGAAAUAUAACCCAAUUUAUGACCUAGAACUUAUGCUGGCGGUGGCAGGCGGGUUUGUAAUGAACUCGAGCUAAGUAAUAAUUUUAUUACGUAAAUUUUUGCUUCUCAUACAACUUGCACUUAUAUGCUUCAUUUUAUUUAAGAUGAUACGUUUAUCUACUAAAAUAAUGCAUUCACAAUAAUCUUUAUAAUCGUAUAAUUGAAAAUACUGAUCGUUGGACGUCCAAGGUCCAACCAAUCUCACUGAAUUUGAACGCCCAAACGAUGAGUAAUUUUGGCGUCCAAAGGUCCAACCAACAAAAAUAAAACAUGCAAAUUAACCUAAUGACCUAACAAAAUAUGAGUUCCAUUUUCCCAUUGAAUUUGGCCUAUAUUUUAGGUCAAUUAAAAUGGGUCGAAUGGAUUUAUUGUAAAUUAAGUAAAUACCAAAAAUGAAAAACUCUUAAUUCAUGAAUAGAAUCCAUCUACUUAGCUCAUCUUCCAAUUCUCUCAAAGUAGGCCUUUCCUCCACUGCUCCGCCACUCUCCUCAUCAUCAACAGCUCCAGACACCGAAUCUCCCCCAUUUUCCGACGCCCUCCGCCACGGAAGAAGUUGGAGCAGCACCGCUUUCGCGCGGGGAAGAACGCCUGCGCCGCCGCGCAUGAAGCCGGAAAGCGCGCGGUUCCCAUCUACGUGGUGCUCGUAAACUAGUAAGGGAAAACUCGUCUCCAAACAGCAGCCCGAAAUCCUAAUUACAUUUCCGCCGCGUAUAGAGCGACGGAUCACCUCGUCGAUGAACUGCUCGAUUUUCGAUUCCGGCACCAGCGACGGAAUCUUCAUCACGGCGGCCUCUCGACUAUUCUCGAAGGUUCCGCGGUAGAAUUCCCCCCGCUCGCUGUAAUUGUUAGUGGCGUUCUCCAUUUCCUGAGCUGCGUAUAUUUUGAGGUGCGCAGAUCCCUCGCGCUUGGAUAGCUUCUUCUUCAAUAUGUUUCCGCCAUUUCUGUCGAACAAGCUCAUUCUGUGGCGCUCGAGCUUCCUUCUCUGAUGCGACCAAACGAUCCAAGUGCUCGCGAAGAGGGGCGGGAGCACCAACACCCCCAAUAAGUAGGGGAUUUUAGAGUCGAUGUAGAUUCCAUGGCCGCUCCGCAAGGCGGAGGUAGUUUCGGUGAGGGAGGAAGAGAGGGUGAGAAAGAAAAUCAGCAACUUGAGAAGCUUCGAAUUGUGGAGAGAGAUUUUGAGAGACAUCGUGGAAGGUGGUGAAAAUCAGCGUUCUCGGCUUUCGUUUUGAUGCCUCUCUUUGCAAUUUACACUCUGAUGUACUGAAUCGUUGGUCUGGCGGUUUGCUUAUUUUGGUGGUAGUUUGAAUUGAAUAUUGGUUGAUGAUUUUCUGAAACUCGUAUAUGGGUUUAAUGUGUGCUUUUCUAGUCAACGAACAGGAAAUUUCUAUCUUACCUUUAUGGGAAUUCUCUUAUUCAACUUUUUGCAUGUGUUUGUUUGCCACAAUUCUAAGUUUCUCUGGUGAUUAAUCAGUAUUUUGUUUCUGUCUAGGUAGAUUGAUUAGUCUUGUAGAACUUAGAAGAAGGCCUGAAUGGAAAGCAAAAUCUGCGGAUCCAUAAAAUCUGUUGUGAACCUUCAAAUUCGAUGCAAUAAUCAUUUUGUUGUGAACCUUCAAAUUCGAUGUGGAGUCCAUAAAAUCUGUAGUUCUCCUGGAGCGGAUCCUGUAUAGAAUCCAGAAAUUUUCAGACAUGUAGAUGUUUAAUUCUAAUUGUUAAGAUGCAUAUGGACAUUUAUACGUUUUAGAGGUUGCAUGAAAACUACACUAGUUAUUGAGUUUUCCAAUUUAUCUCCUAAUAAUUUAUAUAAUGUGCUUAUGUGUUUGGCUUCAGUUUCUGAACUUUGUGUCUGACGAAACUAUUUACAUUUGGUUUUCUAGAUUGCAGUUGCUCUUGCUGUUGCAGCCAUCCCUGAAGGGCUACCUGCUGUUGUUACAACGUUAGUUCUUUAUUCUGUUUUACAUAACAUGUCAUAUGUACAUCAGCAUUCUCAUACCGUUUUUCUCGGAAAAGACCUGGCAAAUGUGGCAAGGGAUUGGCUUUGAUAAUGAGUUGUUGGACAAAUCACUGAGCAACUUAUUGGAAGACCUCUGAAUCUGUUUGUCACAUGCUCUGUACGAUUUGCUAUAGUAUCUGUCAUGGAUUUGUGAGAACUUUUAGCAGGCACUCCCUGUUAGCUCUAUUUCAGAGUAUAGUUAUUGUUUGCCUUCUAAUUGGCUACCUUUGUUCGGGUAAUAGUAAUCAGUUUCUUUUGUCUGUAUUCUAUUCCCUCGUAUUGUCCUAGAUACAACAAUUCCAAGUUUAAAUAUGCUUGACCUGUUCUAGCAUCCUUGAGAAUACAUUUUGCUCAAAGUAUAAGGUGUAGGCAUAGGUCCUACUGCAAGUAUUUUUGAUUGAAUAUAUUUUCGGUAGAGGAUUAUUUAGUAUGUUCUAUAGUAGGUAAUAAACAACUAUUAAAAAGGCUUGCAAGAAAGAUCACUUUUUGGCUCAUGAAGGUUGGCUAUGGGUUUACUAGGUUAUUGUCUUAGGUAGGCCAGAUAAGGAUGCUUAUUCAGUCUCUUACUUUCACCCAGCAGUGUUGAUAUACUUGCAGAUAAAGAGAAACUUACUUUCACCUCUGUUUUUUGAGGAAAUGCUGAUUGUUUCAAAUCCAUGCUUAAGAAGCAGCUUAGCUUUCUGCCUUACACAUCUUAAUUUCUCUGAGUGUCAGCAGGUGUCUAGCUCUUGGAACGAAACGAAUGGCUCGUUUAAAUGCUAUAGUUAGGGCGUUGCCAUCAGUAGAGACCUUAGGCUGUACAACAGUGAUUUGCAGUGACAAGACUGGUACUCUGACUACUAAUAUGAUGUUUGUCUCGAAGGUAUCAAUUUACACACAAUAAUCCUUCGUUCUUCUUUUACUUCUUUUAUUUUCCUCUGGGUUAUACUUUUUUUAAGGUUGAGAAGGGGGAAUAUAUGCUUUGGAAUGUUUCUCCUUUAUUAGCUUUGUCAGAAGCUCUGAUAAAUUUCUCUACACUUCUUACAUUUUAGCACUUAUGGUUUCACGUAAUGCUAGACUAAUUAAUUUUUUGUAUUUUUCCCCAUCAAGCUUCAAUUAUUCUGCCCAUGUGUUUAAGUGUGCAUAUACUUAUUUACACCAAUAUGUUAUUAUGUACUGCAUAUUUUCUUACAACUACUUUCACUGUAAAAGUUGAUUAAAAUGGCAUUGCUACUUUGAAUCACUAGGAAUUCCCCAUUUUUUGUGAGGACCAUUGUGAUGUUUAUAUCGAAAGUGGCAGACUGUGUCAGCCUUCCUAAAGAACUAAUAUUAAGUAUAACAUCUGCUUUCUCUUUGCAGGUAUCUGUGCUCCAUUCUGCAAAUCAUGUUCCUGUUGUAUUAAUACAUGUAAGUGGCACCACAUAUGCUCCAGAAGGUACUAUCUCCGACAGCACUACAGAGCUACAGGUAGUGUUCUAUUCAUGACAUUAGGUUUGUAUUUAUUGAUUGAUUAUAAGUUUAACACUAGACCAGUUUUCGAAAUAUCAAUAGUUAGUGCAAUGGAUUUUGUACCAGCAUUAUUUAUCUUGAAAAAAUCAUGUUUUCUUAUCAACUUAUAUUUAGUUUCAUAUCUUCUACAAUGUAUUGAUGUUUCUGACUGCUGUCUAAAAUUUGUCUACUUUGUACUUUGUUAUUCCAUAUGGUCACAGAUUCUUCUUCUCCCCUUGCUUGCUUACCAAUCCAACUACAAUUUUUUUUUUGAGAACCACCAUCUACCAAAAAUUUAUUAAAGGAUAUAUGCACCUUUUUCCUGAUUAUUUUGGCUUAUUAUCUUUCAUAUACUCUUUCGAAGGACCCUGUUUUCCCCUCUUUAUAGCUCAUCCAAUCUCCCUAGGCUCUGUCUAGGUUCCAGGUGGCCUUUUACCGUUCCUGCUUUUCCAAAUUCACCUUGCUCAGCCCUGCUGGACAGCUGGCUCCUUUUAGAAUAUUGAGCUUCUACUAUUUUUACAUGAUUCUUACUUGUCUAUUUUUAUUUUGGGUUUAUUAUAGUCAUAUAUUGACAACUUUUAUGUUUGUUAUUUGUAUUAUUUGUUGUAGUUAUUCUUAAUGUAAGAUUUAUCUGGGACCUAAUGCAGCUUGGGCUUCCAGCUAAUUUUCACUGUCUUCUACACACAGCAAUGUGCUCUGCCCUUUGCAAUGAAUCUAUUAAUCAGAGGCAUGUCUGACUGAAACAUAAGGAAGUUUGGACAACCAUCUGGUUGCACCAUUUCGUUAGUGGGUAUAAUUUCCAACUAUUUAGAUAUGGAACCUGUUGUCCAAUUACCACUUGUGAUAUCCUCACCAGUCUAUGGCAGGCAGUAUUAUAGCUAAAGUCAAUGAUGUUGUUGGUUUGAGGAAUUCAACCACAUGCUUAUUUAUGGAAUGAGGAAUGAGUCUUUCAUAUGUGGCUAUUUUUUUCAAACUGCCACUAAUGUUGUACUUAAAUACUAGCUUCUUGCAAUUUUUCCAUAGAAUUCUGUCAUAUGUAGUACCACAUUCGCUAAAAUGAUCCAGGGAAAAUGCAUAACAUGGAAUAUGACCACCUUCACCCUACAGGGAAUGUAUUGUUAUAGUUUCGGAGGUUUUUCUCUUGUCCUUGUACCAGUUAAUCCAUCUAGCUAAGUGACUGUCACUAUACUGAAUUUCAUGUAGCCUCUGCCUUUUUAAUGAAAUUUCACUGUCACAUCUUUUUUACUGUAUUUAUAUGGUUGAGUAGCUUUCUCAUCUUCUUGUCCUCAAGGAGGCCGAGAAAGAAAAAAAAAUGAAAGAAAAUGAAAUAGUUGUGUGAAAAUACUUGUAGAAAAUAUUAAAUCGGAAGAUGAGUUAAUUUUCUUUAAAUAUUGUAUUUUGUUGAAGCUUGUACUUCCAUGUUAGAUAACUUCUGAUCGUAUCUAUCAGAAAAAACUGCAAAUGACCUAUUAAGCAACUUGGCCUCGUACCUAAUGGACCAAAGAUUCGUGGGCUCGAUAAUUCCUUGGUUACAGCAGGCAAGUUCUUUUGGUUGCACUAUUUAUAACUAUAUGAAAUCAUCCAUAUCCGUAACAAAUGAUUAGCAUGUUAUCUAAAUGAUCACUCUGUUUUCAUCAGCUUGUGGAUCUCAGUAACAUCCACGGACCAACCUACCUGGUGCUCUCCUCGAAGACGAAACAAGAAUUCUUAUAUGGAGUCCAGGAGGCUGCCAAAUUGGAGAUAUUCAAUCCUGCAGAGAGAAGAUGCCUUACUGAAAUAGGCAAAAUGUUGUGCCAGUUUUGGGGUUAAGACAUUUUUACAUGUUUGAAUCUCUUAAGUGGAGUUCAUUUCUGUAUUGUAAUUCAAAUCAGAAAUCUUGCACAUUAUUUGAUGUGAAGGCUGGGAUCUGAUUAGUAAUAGGUCGUGUUGAAGUUGUAUAAACAAAUCUAUUGCUCCAGUUUGUGCAAAGUAUGAAGUUGUGCCUCAAGAUUUAGGGGUCAAAAUUUCACAAUCUGACUGGUUAUAAGCAUGACAAAGCUCAAACAGAUAUAAAGCAUUUGGUGAAAUAAGUCAUUUAUAAUCGGGUGUCAAAAUGCUUUUCUUGGAUACAUAAACACUUGCUUACUUUUCCAUUGAUAAGAAGAGCUACAAUGUUUAUGACUUGUGAAAAAUUAGGACAGAAUGGUACAGACUUAAUCUUCAAAAAAAGAACCUGUUUGCAUACACUUUCUUAACUGCAGGUUUCAACAAUCAAAUCUUAGAGAAGAGGCAAUAGAGGCUUUACUCCUUUGAAGGCUCAUUAGGUUGUUGAUUCUUUAUAGGGCGCGUCUUCUCUUUCGCUCUGACUUCUGAGUUGGUUUCUUAACCCUCUGUUGGGAUUCUGAGGCGCAUUUUUUGAGACUUCGUAAAGGGUUAUACUACCACUACUUUCUAUUGGGCUGAAUUCUUGUGUGACGAGGGGUUCGAGUAUCUCAAUGACUUGACUCAUGAGGGGUCUUCCUUUUGGGUUCUGACUGAGACAUUGAAAUGCCAGAUUGGCCACUUUCAUAAGAAUCUUGGUGGAGUACUGCCCCUCGAUUCUAGGAUCCAGUAUUCUCGAAAGCUUCUUGCUAUGGUUGAGGAGUGGACGUGCCCACUCCACAAGAUUAUGUUCUCGGCUUGGCCUGCUCUUGUCCAUCGCACGUCUUCCUAUAAGCAUCUCAAGCAGAACAACUCCAAACCCAUAGACAUCGCUUCUUGCUGUCAAAUGUCCUGAACAAUGUACAAAUGGAUGAUCAUUCAAUCACUAGUCAUAAACAAUGCAUUUAAAGAUGGUAAUAAGAGAUUUAGCCACAACUCGUCUAAGACUUAUAUCAAAGAGCAACCUACGCGUAAAUGGUAACAUCAGAUGUAGCGUUCAUAUCACGUCUGCCAUCACAAGACUCACCAGUCAUGACAUACUCAGGAGCAGCGUAACCAUAGGUGCCCAUAACCCGGGUUGAGACAUGAGUUUGAUCUCCCGUUGGCCCAACCCUUGCCAGCCCAAAAUUAGAAAGCUUUGCGUUGAAAUCCUGUGCUCGUUAUACACUUUAGCCACUGAAUGAUCGAUGGAGAUGACAAAAUUUUGCAUAACCAGAAGACAUUGUGAAAUCUAUGGGAUUCAUCAGUAGAAUUCCAUCCAAAUAUGUAACUCAUUUAUAAGACCUCAUUUGUACUAGUAAACACAUCUACUAACCUCAUCUAGCAAAAUGUUUGAAGUCUUAAAAUCCCUGUAAAUGAUAGUUUUUUCAACACCAUGAAGAAAAGCAAGCCCUCUCGCAGUAUCCAAAGCAAUCUUUAGUCUUCUAUGCCAUGUUAAUGUGGCUCGUACCCCUACAAGCAAAAACCACAGAAAAACUGUAAGGAGACUAACUAGGCUAAACCAGGUGGGAUAAAGAGCGCACACAGUCCAUCACACGUCUCUUUUAGUUUGAUGGUGCACUGUAAUAGCUAAUAUCUCCUUUAAUUUUUCAAAAACUAUGUUGGCAUCACAUAUAAUACAACCUCCAAUUUCAAAAUGAAUGUUCUUAUAAGCAACUUCGUUUUAGAUGGUUAUUGAAACCUCAGUUUUCCAUAUCAGGUGAUUGCUACACGAGUAAAUGAGUGAAAGAAUGCAAGUCACUCUCAGCUGAAACAAUUUCCCACUACUACCACUUACUAAAGAAAAGGUGUUUCUCGAGGCUCCCAGAUGCCAUAUAUUCAUAGACCAAAAGCCUAUGGUCAUCCUCGCAGCUGUAGCCAAUAAGUUUCACCAAAUUAGGAUGUCGGAGUUGGCCUAAAUAGUUUACUUCUGCCUGCAAAGGACAACUUACACAUUCAGCGAUAACUACCUUCUCUACAUUUAAUGAAUUAGAAAAAAGUUUCACUGAAUAGAUUUUUUAGAUUCGAGGCAGCAAAAGCAGUAGAGAUGGGUGCAGCCAUCCAGUCACUUAUUUGUCUAGAAAUUGAAAUAUUGUUCUGAUAAAAUUUCAAUUGCUGCUCUUCCGAUCCCAAUCAACAGCAGCUAAUUCUCAACCAAACAUAAUACAAGGACCAGGCUGCACUCCACAGAUACACGAUGGCUUAUCCCAUUUCAUACUUACUUUAUAAAACUAAUAAAAAGUAGAAUAUGGGAAAUUAAGUUUUCUGGUAAGUUAAUAUAUAUAAUGAAUAAUGGGAUUUGGCUUUCUAACCAUCAGAAUAAUAAACAAUAACUACCUGUGUUAUGCGUAUAUUAAAAAAAUAAAAGUAUUAAGCAUCCUACGGCGGAUAUCGGUGAAAAUCUCAUUUCAAUCAUUCUUCUUCUAAAGGCUGCGCCUAUACAUAUAUGAGGUUUGGGCUACAGAAAUACAGAAUUAAUCAAACCCACGCAAACAAAGAAGCGAGAUGGCGAUGGCUAGGCGAAGGGCGGUGAUGCUGUUCUCUGAGACAAAUUAUCGAACAUGUGGCGUUCGUCUGAAACGCAAGCCACCGAGCAUGACGUUCUAGCACCAGUCUCUGCAAGCGCAACCAUGACUAGGCAGAAGACAACGCCUAGCUCUCCUAUCUAUCUGCAAUUUUCAUUUUACUAUCAAUUUAAACACUAACACAUAUCAUACAUACAUGAUAUAUAUAGCAGGUUCUUGAUAAGAGUUUGAAGAUCAGUAUCUUUCACCAGCGAGAUAGAGGCGUAUUCCUCGACCCUCGUCAGCUUUUUCAGCUCUCGAACGAGUCGACUCUGUGAAGCUCUCCAAAGGCAAAUCGACGUGCAUGCUGACUUAAGUUAGCAUCUUCGAAGUUGACAAUAAACCCACUGAAUCAUACCUCCUCCUCGUUUGUUACAUCGAUGAUUUGUGAUGUUUCGUUGUCCAGCGGGAGGAGGACACCAAUAAAGGGAAACAAUUGAACAAUCGAUAAAUGAGGAAAAAAAAGGGAAAAUCGAAGGAGAAGGAGUGAUUUAUGUGAUGAGAAACCGAGGAGGGAGAAAUGAGGGGAAAUUUGAGCAAAAAAGUAAAUAAAUUGCCUACUUUUGGAGGGAUUUUUUUUCGUUUAGGCGGGAAGUGAUUUCCUUGGGGGGAAACAAAAUUUUUCAUGUCAUAUUAAUUUAUGGGGUCCAACCAUAAUUUAAAAGAGAUAUGUUUUAUAGCUCCAACUUAAAAACAACUCUUUUGUAUAUCAAAAUGAGUUAAAUGACUAAAACACCCUCAUAUUAUAUCAUUAAAAAAAAGGGAAUCAAGAUUUUCGUCCAAGUCAAGGAUGUGAAGAAGAUUUUACUUGAUAUUAAAGGUCCUAUCAAGAAGUAUAGGUAGCUUGAAGGAUCUAGAAUAUUUUGUCUUACUCAACUUUGAAACAUAUUGAGACUUAUUUUGAGACUUAUUGAGACAUAUUCCAUGUUAUUUAUUUUUAGUUUGGUAUGUUGUUCAUUCUAUUUGUUAUGUUGAUUUUUGUAUAUUAUUGUCUUGAGAAACAAAAGAAAAACACAAAAAAAUGUUGGUGGUUGUCGUGAUCAUGAUGGGGGCUUCCCAUCGUGGACACAAUGGCAGCCAUCGUGGUCACGACAGCGCCAUCGUGGGCCACGGUCGUGCCCUCGCCCCCGUCGUGCCCCGCCCUCGCCCACGCCCGCCAUUCGCUCCGUCGUGUCCACCAUCGUGUCCACGAUGGUAGGACACGAUGGUGGACACGAUGGCUCUCACGAGUCAUCGUGUGGUUAUUAAUAUCAUUUAAUUUCAAACUUAAAUAUGAUUAUUGACUUGUUUAAUGUAUUAUAUUAUGUUUAAAAUUAUAAUUUAGCAAUCAAGCUUGAUUUGUAAUAAAAAUUAAACGAGUUGGAGUUAUAUACAUCGAGAUCUAUGAAUAUCUACUUGAAAAAUACUUAUAACAUUUCAUGGAAUGUUAUAUAGUUGUCAUGACUCAUUUCACAAAAACACUUAAAUUAUGUGUUUUAAGACAAAAUGGUUUGAUUAACUAUGUAUAAUGUUGUUUAGAAGAUAUAUAACAUGUUCAAACUUAAAUUAGUCGAAUAUAACAUCAUAAAUUUUAAAAAUUUCAAACAAUAAUAACACACGAUCGUGUACCCGGUCGUGGACACGAUGGUGUGAUUGUGGUCACGAUCAUGGCCAUCGUGAACCACGAUCGUGCCCUCCGUUUCUCCUGCCCGAACCCAUCGCGGGCACGAUGGGUGCCUCCCAUCGUGAUCAUGAUGGGAGGUUUCCAUCGUGAUCUCGGCAAAUAACAUGGAAUAAAUCUCAAUAAGUUUCAAAGUUGGGUAACGACGGGGAAGACACGACGCGAGGGCACGAUCGUGCCCACGGUUGUGCCCACGGUGAGCUCCAUCGUGAGGUGUCAUUGUGGGCACGAUCGUGUCCACGAUGGUAGACUCACGACCAUAGGCACGAUGGCUCUCACGAGUCAUCGUGUGGUUAUUAAAAUCAUUUAAUUUUGAAUUUAAAUAUGAUUAUUGACUUGUUUAAUGUAUUAUAUUAUGUUUAAAAUCAUAAUUUAGCAAUCAAGCUUGAUUUGUAAUCAAAAUUAAACGAGUUGAGUUAUAUACAUCGAGAUCUAUGAAUAUAUACUUGGAAAAUACUUAUAACAUUUCAUGGAAUGUUAUAUAGUUGUCAUGACUCAUUUCACAAAAACACUUAAAUUAUGUGUUUUUAAGACUAAAUGGUUUCAUUAACUAUGUAUUAAAAUGUUGUUUAGAAGAUAUAUAACAUGUUCAAACUUAAAUUAGUCGAAUAUAACAUCAUAAAUUUCAAAAAUUUCAAACAAUAAUAACAUACGAUCGUGUACCUGGUGGACACGAUGGUGUGAUCGUGGUCACGAUCGUGUCCAUCGUGCCCUCCCAUCGUCGUGUCCUCCGUCCCCUCCCCCCAUCGUGUCCUCCCGUCCCCCGGCCCCGUCGUGUCCUCCGUCCCCCAUUCCCCUCGUCAUGUCCCCCGUCCCCCCCGGCCCGUCGUGCCUUCGGCCCAUCGAUGGCCGUGAUCGUGCAACGACCGUGCCCACGAUGAACAUCGACGGUCGUGCCCCCUGCCCACAAUGGACACGAUGGUCGGGGGACGGUCUUAUCGGCUGAGACAUUACCAUUGUGGGCACGACCGAGGGCACGAUCGUGCCCUCGCGUCGUGGCCUUCGCCCCCUUCCCCGUCGUCCCAUCGCUCCUCGCCCCCCAUCAUAGCCUUCGCCCCCUUCCCACCCCCAUCGCCCCUCGCCGGUCGCACCCCCUCGUUCGUGCCAUCGCCCAUCGCCCUCUUCUCCAUCGUGCGAUUGUGGGCACGACGUGGGCGACGGUCGUGCCGUCGUCGUGCCUCGUUGCCGCAGCCCCCUUCACCUCGGUCGUGCCAUCGUCGUCGCCCGUUGUGGACGCGAUGGGGGCUCCCAUCGUGGACACGAUGGUGCCGUCGUGGCCACGACCGUGGCCCACGAUGGCUGCCAUCGUGUCCACAAUAGGGGCGCCCAUCGUGAUCACGAUGGUGCCGUCAUGUCCACGACCGUGGCCCACGAGUUUAGCACAUUACUAACAUUGAGAAAACUGAAAGUUCUAAUUGUUUGUUAAAUAUAAGAUGAUUUUCUAAACACUAAUAUUUAUAUAAAUAAAUUAAAAUAUAGUAAAAUUUGGCUUAAUAUAUUUAGAACUAAUUCAUCUUGAUACGUCUGCAUAAUUUUUUUAUUUAUUCAACGUGGAAAAAUUAUCUUUUGUAUUAAAUUAAUGACAAUACAAAUUAUCUUUAUAUUAUAAACACUAAGCAUUUCUAUCAAAUAUAUGCUUUUUUAUAGCUGUAGACGAGAUGAUUCUCAAAAUUCACUUUUGAUCUUUCAAACUCUAAACGAGAUAAUGUUAAAAAGUUAGAGGUGGUCUAUCAAACUUCAUACAAGAUGUAUUCAAAACUUAAUUUUGGCUCCAAACAAUAAAUUGCUCUAAGUUAGAAGUGAUUUGCCAAACUCCAAACGAGAUGAUUCUUAUAACUAAAUUCCGAUCCUUUAAACUUCAAAUGAGAUCAUGCUUAGCACUCAUCUACAGUAUUUCAAGCUCCAAAUGAGUGAUGCUUAGAACUCAACUCCAGUCUAUCAAACCAUGGACAAGAUUAUACUUACAAAUCAGUUAUAGUCUUUCAAGCUCCACACGAAAUUAUUCUCACAAGCCAGUUAUGAUCUUACGAGUAUUUUGGUUUCAAACAAUAUGAUGCUCACAAAAUUAGCAGUGGUUUGUCAAGUUUCAAAUGAAAUGAUGUUCAUAACUUAAUUUCAACCUUUGAAGUUUCAAAUGAGAUAAUGCCUAACACUCAACUCCGGUCUUUCAAGCUCCAAAUGAGUGAUGCUUAGAACCCGGCUCAGGUCUCUCAAAAUAUAGACAAAUUUCAUAUAACAAGCUUUAGAUAAGAUAAUGAUUAGAUGUUCGACGUACAAAAGUCAAAUGUGAUAUUUCAAACCACAAACAAGAUGAUGCUCAAAGUCUUGUAAGAUUCGAGAUGACGUUCAUAUAUAAGAUGUGAUCUUAAAUUUUGUUUAUCAAUUUAUAAAAAUUAUACUCCUAUAAAAUUAGUAAAUCUUUCCUACACAUUAUAAAUAAAAAAUACGAUGUGUCAAUCCUUCAUCAUAUCAUAUGUCAAAUAUACCUAAUUUUUUUCUUCUUAUUUUUCUAAAUCUCCAACCUCACAUCAACUUUUUAUGAAAUUUCAUCAAAUAAAAAUUUAUAAAAAAANUUUCAAACCACAAACAAGAUUAUGCUCAAAGUCUUGUAAGAUUCGAGAUGACGUUCAUAUAUAAGAUGUCAUCUUUAAUUUUGUUUAUCAAUUUAUAAAAAUUAUACUCCUAUAAAAUUAGUAAAUCUUUCCUAUACAUUAUAAAUAAAAAAUACGAUGUGUCAAUCCUUCAUCAUAUCCUAUGUCAAAUAUACCUAAUUUUUUUUCUUCUUAUUUUUCUAAAUCUCCAACCUCACAUCAACUUUUUAUGAAAUUUCAUCAAAUAAAAAUUUAUAAAAAAAGACAAUCUAUUUUAACUCUCACCAAAAAUUAACUGACAAAAAUUAUUGACUAUCAUAUGCUAUAAUAAAAAAUAAUACUCCCUCCGUCCCUAAAAUAAGUUCUUCUUUUUCCUUUUUGGGACGUCCCAUAAAUAAAUUCCUCUUUCUUUCUUUCCAUUUUUGGACAACUACCCCACCACUAAUAAUACUUUAUUUAUUCUUACUUUUCACUUAUUCACCACUCCCAAUACUAAUUAUACCACUUUUUCACCUUUUCACCACUCUCAAUACUAGGGCUGUCUAAAUGGUUAUCGGGUUUUGGGUAUCCAAUUAACCGAACCGAAAUUCCCGGGUUUGGGUAUCCAAUAACCGAAAAUUUCGGGUAAUCGGUUAUUAUUUUUUUGGAAAUUUCGGUUAUCGGUUAACCCGAAAAAUCGAUCGGGUUAACCGAAUAACUGAAAUUAUUUUAUUAAUUAUUUAAUAUAUAUAUUAUCAAUAUAUCAUAUAUAAUAUAUUAUAUAUUUGUAAAUUAAUAUAUAAAUAUAUUUGUAAAUUAUUUAAUAUAUAUAUAUAUUUGUAAAUUAUUAUAUAUAUAUAUAUAUUAUAUAUAAUAUAUUUGUAAAUUAUAUUUGUAAAUUUACAUAUAUAUUAUAUAUUUGUAAAUUUACAUAUAUAUUAUAUAUUUACAAAUAUAUUAUAUUUGUAAAUUUACAUAUAUAUUAUAAUAUAUUUACAAAUAUAUUAUAUAUUUGUAAAUAUAUAUUAUAUAUUUGUAAAUUUACAUAUAUAUUAUAUAUUUGGAAAUUAUUUAAUAUAUAUAAUAUAUAUUUGUAAAUAUAUAUUAUAUAUUUGUAAUUUAUUUUAGAGUAGAUAGAGCAAAAAUUAUUUGAAUUUUAUUUUUUAAAUGGGUAUUUCGGAUACCCAAAUAACCCAAUUGGUUAACCGAAGCGGGUAUUGGGUAACUGAACUUCUAAAAUGGUUCGGGAACGGUUAUUGAAAUUUGGCAAUUUCGGGUUCGGGUAACCGAAAAUUCGGGUACGGGUAACCGAACCCGAACCGAUCGACAGCCCUACUCAAUACUAAUUAUAACAUAUUUUUCUCUACUAUCAAUACACUUUACAAUUUUUUCUUAAACCGUCUCCAAAGAGAAACUUAUUUUGGGGACGGAGGGAGUAUACAAUAAUAGUUACUCCCUCUGUCCCUAAAAUUUGUGGACCAAAAGAGAUGGCAUGAGUUUUAAGAUAAAGUAUGAUAGUUAUGUUUAAAUAGAGAUUGAGUUCCACACUUUUUUAUAAAUAAUGAGAGGAAAAUUUUGUGGGGUCAUUUCCAAAUAAAAAAAGACCACAUUUUUCAAGGGCGUCUCAAUAUAAUAAUAAAACCACAAUUUUUAAGAACGAAGAAAAUACAGUAUAAAGUGGUUCCCCGUCGAAUUUCGACGGGUUAAUAUUUUUAUUAAGUGACCUGCAGCGGUGGUGGUGUGUAAAUUUUUUAAAUUAAAUUGGUAAAGCAUAAAAAAGUUUCAAUGUGACCAAGAGAAAGAAGUACAUAUUUAAAUAUUUAAUAGAUGCAAUUAAGAUAAAGAUAAUAGAUGAGAAAUAUUUGAAAAAUAGGAUCUUUGAAUUUCUUAUUUUUAUAAAGUAAUUCAUCUUUUUUUAAAUAAUUAAAUCUUAUAGUUAAUACCAAUAUAAAAAUAAAAUUAAAUGAAUUAAAAAUCAGCCAAAAGGCAAUUCUCGACAAACGUGCAACUAUAGUUUGAAAAAGUAACUAAGGUAGAGCCAAUUUCUUUAUUAAAUAAAAUGUUUUAUUGAAAUUAAAAAUAUUUGCCACAUGGCAAGAUCUCAACGGCGAGCUGCAUUAAAGCAGUGGCACGAUAGAAGCACCCCAUUGGGGGAAGUAAUAUAGUACUCCAUACUUCAUCUAAAAAGACAAGACAAAAGUCAUACCGCAUGGGCCCAUACCCCACCUUUGAUUGCGAAGGUACUUUUUGGUUAGGAUUUUUGAUGGAAUAUUAACAAAUCUAAAUAUUUUAUUAUUUAAAGCUUAAUUAACAAUCAAAUUAAUCAAUAUAAACAUGAAUAAUCAAAUUAGUUCAGCAAGUGAUACGGAGCCACCUUUGGGCCUCCUAAUUUUUUUUUUUAAUUUUGUAAAAAAAAAUUAGUAAUGUUAUUUUAUUAUAUAUACAGUAUAAGUACAUAAAGUAGGAGGAUUUGUUGUUAAAAAAUUCCACAUAAAAUUUAUAUGUAUUUCAGAUUUUUUUUAAUCUAUAUUUAUAUGUAAUAAUUUUAUAUUUCAAAUAUUAUUUUUGAAAAAAUUCACAUAUAUAUAUACUUCAAUUUGAAUUUUUUAAAUAAAUAAAGUAAUCCACAUCAAUUACUCAAUAAAGAACUUGACUCUAAAAACACAUAAAUUUUUAAUUUUAUAUAAAAUGUAAUGAUAACUAUUGUUAUUAAACAAUUUAAAUAUUUUAUAAACAAUAGUAAAAUUAUAUUUAAAUGUUAACCAGAUAUAAUACUUAGGUGUUAUAUUUAUAUGUUCAAUAUUUACGUGACUUCAAAUCACUUAGUUUUUAUGAAAAAUAUGUAUUGUAAAGAUUUUCAUAAUGGCAUAUAACAUAGUUGAGUUAUGAUUUUUUUUUUUUCUAAAGUGUCAUUUUUAAUUUUUCUCCUAUAUGAAGAAAACCUUUUUUUUUCAUAAAUAAUAGAAGAAACACAUCAUUAAUGUUGAAGGGGAUGAGUAAAAACAUGUUCACAUUAAAAUAUGUCAUUUUAAAAAAAUUGAGCUAAUCGUGUAUAAAAUUAUUUUUUUUAAGACUAGCUCAUUAAUUAACUAUGUUUUCUUAUUAGUGAAGUUUAAAUUGGCCAGUAGGAAAACAAAUCAUAUUAUUACAACUUUUAAAAAUACUAAUAAAAAAUAAAGUAAGUGUUAUAUACCGAAAAAUGAACUCCAACAAAAUUAGAAUAAAAUAUUUAGAUUAAUUUAAGUGUUAUCCCGAAACAUAUAUACUUAUUUAAUUACGUAUAUAAUUUUAAUUUUUUCCUAAAAAAUCAAAUUUUAUAAAAUUUAAUUGAAUAUAAUUUUGAAUAUGUAAACGUAUAUUUAUCAUUAUUUGUGAAAUAUAAAAAUUAUUUGAUAAUGACGAUUAAUACAAAUUUUACUAUUAAAUAUAAUUUUUUUUAAAUUCUAAAGAUUUAUAAAAUGAACCAAUAUAAAACACAAAACUCAAUAUCUAAUUAUUUUCCUUUUGAAAAACACAAAAAUCAAAAGUACAUAAAAAUAUAAAAAAAACAAUAAAAUUUAUAAAUAACGAUUUUACUACUGUUCUCAUAACAAAAAUGUACAGCAAUACAUGUUAACUAUCCACAUGUAUCUAUAUAUAUAAAUAUAAUUUAUCAAAAUAAUUGAUUAUCUGUCUCAAUGGAGACUCGAAAAUUACAUAUCAAAUAUUUUAUUAACUAAAGUGCACGAUUUUUAGGAAAGAAAAAAAAGAUAAUAAAAAGAAAAGAAAGGGAAAAAAUUGUUAAAUGAAAAGAAAGAGAGUAUUUGAUUUGAUUUAUAUUGUAAACUUCACAUUAUACAUUUUUUCAAAAGGAAUAUGCAUUCAAAUACAUAUUAGCAAGAAGUAAUUGUCGGUACCAUCUAAAAAACAUAAUUUAUGACCAUUUUUAUAAUUUUGGUCAAAAAUAUCCUUGACCCCGCGGAUCCUACUCUCCCAGUCCAACCACGUACAGUGUUCUCUCUCUGUCUCUCUCCCCCCGCUCUUGGCACAAAUAGUAUAAUUAUGUCAAAUGUACCUAAUGAAUGACACAAUUGUCACGAAUUUACCCAUUUGUACCAAAUGUGUCAUCAUUCAAUCUUCAGUCACAUUUGACACAAAUGUGCAUAAUUGUGUCUAGUAUGUACUUAAUGAAUGCCACAAUUGGCCUGAAUUACCAUUUGUACCAACUGUACCAUCAUACUGCGUGCCCAACUCGAAGCCCAACCCACACGCAAACCCGAACGCGCUCCUAACUAAGGGCAAAACAGUCCUAAAACGUAAAAAUUGGUCAAAAUUUUUGUUUUUCAGAUGGGAGACCAAAUAUUGAGUUUCAUUGUUCAAUAUGACCAUCUCACAAGUUUACUCUUUUCAAAAUUGACAUUGAAAUUAAUUUCAAAUUAAAAUCUUGACUUUUUAAUAUAUUAUACUAGAAUUGAAGGUUUUAUCGUAUAUUAUAUUUUAUAUUUUUUUUUCCUCUUUCUUAUGUAUCCAUGAAUUGCAUAUUUUUAUAUUUAUUUUAUUUUUGUUCAUCUUUUUAUUAUUUUUUCUUUUUAAACUUGUGAAAUUCGCCCAAUUUUAAUAUAUUUGAUAUCAUAUCAAAUUAAAGAUUAAAGUUCACGACAAGAAAUUUAAUUUGAUAUAUUUUAUGUAGAUAAUGAAUUUAAGAUUUAAAUACAUGAGGACUAGUUUUUUAUGGAAACUUUUUUGCAGAUGUAUCAAACUUCAAACCUUUGCAAAAUAACAAAAGUCAUACCCCAUACCCCAUACCCCACACCCCACACCUUUGAUUGCGAAGAUACCUUUUUCUUUAGUUUUUUGGGAAACCAUCUUCACUCCAUUUUAGCAUUUUUCUUUUUUUGACUUUUAGCUAUGAUUUGAGAAAACCGUUAACAAUAGAUUCGAGGGCGGUUAAUUAGGAAGAUUAGUUUUGAUAGAUAAAAAAAGUAAAAUUCAUUCUAUUAUUUACUUUGAUGGAUUAUAAUUUUGAAAUAUCCCAAGACCUUAAUUUGAUUAUUUCUAUUAUUCAAAUUAUUUUUAUUUGAUUCAUUUUUCAUAAAAAUAGUUAAUCAUUCACAUAAUCAAUACAUGCUAAAGUUGGCCCAUAAAAUUCAGGUUCAUUUGAAUCCCGCGCAUGACAAAUGAAAAUUUAAAAUGCCUAAUUCUUUCUUUAUUUUUAUUAAUUGAGUUAAUUUUUCUUUAUUUUUAUUUUGUUAACAUAAUUUAUUCUUUCUUACAUUUAAGAAAAUUGGCUUAUUUCCCUCCAAAAAAAGAAAAAAAGAAAAUUGACUGAUUUUAAAAUAUCCAACACACCUAUAAAUUAAAGAUCUUGUUGAAGAUGUCAGAGGAGAGAGACUGUGUUAUCGUUAGGAACUUAGGAUUGAAAACUUGCUUCAUCAUUUGUCUAUACUUCUUUCACUCCCAAUGCCUAUCGAAGCUAAAGUAGAUCAACAUCUAAGGCUGGAGGAAAACAACUUUAAUUUGGUGUUGCACUCAAACAAAGUAAUUUUUCCAAGAACUUUCCUACAAGAGAACUCAAUUUUUUUUAAUCAAUAGUUCAUUUUUAGGGUGUGCUCAAUUUGAUAGAUAAAUUUAUCAUGGGAAAAUAAAGUAUAACAAAAAUUUAUGUCUUUAAAAAGUCUUUUUUUUUUUUUCAGAAGUUCACCAUUUUUUCUUUCUUAUUUUCACUUCAAAGAGAGACAACAUUAUCUCUCGAUCUUGGUGUGGUAAUAUUAUCCAUUUUAAAGUGAAAAUAAGGAAGAAAAGGUAGAGAACUUGAUCUCUUUUGUGUAAAAUAUGGGAAAAGAAAUGAGACAUUUAAAAUUAUAAAUUUUGGUCAUUAAUUCUUUAUUUUUCCAUGAUAAAUUUAUCCAUGUGAACGUACCCUUAGGGUUAAUUAAUUCAUCGUAACUAAAUUCCAUUCCUAGCGGUAAGAGGGGAUUUAGGCCAUAUAUAUAUGCACUUGUAGGAAACCAACAUGAAAUUUCCAUUUCUUAAUUUGCCAAUGCCGACUAGUAGGAAAGCAACAUGAAAUUUCCAUUUCUUAAUUUGCCAAUGCCGAUUUACAAUUUUUUUUUUCUUUUUCUCUAAUAAAAAGAAAUUAAAAUAGGAUGAAAUAGAACUAUAAAUAUACAAUUAAUCGAAGAAAUUAAUCAAAACCAAGUCUGUCUUUUCCUUCAUCCAUCAUGUUUCCGCACAUCUCUCUCCACAAUUCCGCCCCUUUGAAGUUGCUGAUUUUCUCUCUCAUCCUCUCUUCCUCUCUCACCAAAACUACCUCCGUCGCCGCCGUGCCGGGCUGCCAUGGAAAGUGCCUCGACUCCAACAUCCCUUACCUGUUGGGGAUGUUCGUGCUGGUUUCCCUCGUAAUUGGGAGCACUUGGAUCGUCUGGUCGAAGCGGCAAAAGAAGCUCGAGCACCAUAGAAUGAGCUUGUUCGAUAGAAAUGGCGGAAACAUAUUGAAGAAGAAGCUAUCCCAGCGCAAGAGAUCUGCGCACCUCAAAAUAUACACAGCUCGGGAAAUGGAGAUCGCCACCAACAAUUACAGCGACACCAGAUCGGUAAUGCAGAGGUGCAAGCCGGGGAAAUUCUACCGCGGAACCUUCGAGAACAAUCGAGAGGCCGUCGUGAUGAAGCUUCCGUCGCCGGUGCCGCAGUCGAGAAUCGAACAGUUCGUCGACGAGGUGAUCUUCCUCUCCGAGGCCCACGGGAAUCUGGUUAGGGUUUUGGGCUGCUGUUUGGAGACGAGCUCUCCCUUGGUAGUUUACGAGCUCCACGGCGACGGCAACCGCACCCUCGCCGACUGCUGCACGCGCGGCGGCGCGUGCGCUGGCAUCCUCCGGGCGGCGGUGAGGGGGCUCGCCGACCUGCGGUCGCGGAAUGCGAGGGCGGCGGGGUUCCUCCACGGCAACUUCUGCGGCGGCAACGUUUUGUUGGAUGAUUCUUUUGAUGCGAAGCUGUUCUACGCCGCCGCCUCCGGCAACCUCGUCGCUGAUCGAGAUCGUGUUGGUUUCGAUGACAAGGACGUGUGUAGCUUCGGAGCAGUGCUGGAUGAGCUGCUGUCGACGCGUCGGAGGGCGCCGGAGAGUGACGGGGAUCUCGCCACGUGGCUGCUGUCGGAAGAUUCGGAAGUAGUUUAUGUGAAGGAGGUUGCCGCCAUGGCUGCGAGAUGCAAGAGUGUGCUGCCGGAGGAGAGGCCUACCUUGUCUGAAUUGGAAGCUACGCUUAGUAGAUUGAUUGGAAAUUUAUAGAGCACAACUAGUUGCUAAUACGUUUCUGUUAUGCUAUUUUGUAGCCUUAAAUCAUAUUUGACUAUUUGUAAGCAUUGAUUCCAUCGUGUACAGUUUUAAAUAGAGAAUCAGAUCUGAUCAAUGAAAAACAGUUUCCAUUUCCACUUUUCAUAUUCUUAUUCUCUCAUGGCUACUGUUCAGCCAUAUUUCCCCUCGAUCCACCUAAAGAUUUGAGGAUGUGCUUCUUCUCCCAAUAUCGCUCCGCUGCAAUUCAAAAUUCGGACUUUGAUAUGGCUACGUUAUGAUCAAUUUAUUUUCAGUUGGAUUCUUGCUGCGAUCUCUCAUUCAAUGAUCGGAUAAAAAUAAUUUGAAUAAUAGAAAUAAUCAAAUUCAAAUUCAACUCCAGACGCUAGUGAUGAUUAUAUUUUGAAAUUUCGAGGCAUUUCUGAUCAGUUAUCCAAUAUUGGUCAACAAAUUGCAGAAACUGAUUUUUAAAUACCCAUGUCCCAAAGAAAUAAGACAUUUAUAAUUGAAGUAAUAUUUUAUUUUAAAAUAAAUAUUAAUUCAAUAAAGAAACUAAUAUUAGGAGACAAAUGAUUGGACAAAGAGUUGGGACAUCUGAUUCUAACGAUAGGACAAUAAAGAAACUAAUAUUAGGAGACAAAUGAUAGGACAAAGAGUCGGGACAUCUGAUUCUAACGAGUUUCCUGAGGGUUAUAGGGUUUAGGAGUGAGAGGAUUUUUUAGGACAGUAACUUAUGUUAAUUUGGAAAUUAGGACAAAAACUUUUUGACUUGUAAAAUUUUUUUAGAGUAAAAUAAGACACUAAUUAAUAAGCGUCGUAAAAAUAAGACAUUUCUCGGCCGAGAAUUGGUCUGACAAAUGUCCUGCGGGUGCAACACUUAUUAAUUAGUGUCAUAUUUUACUCUAAAAAAAUUAGUGUCCUAUUUUUAUAAGUCCGAAUGUUUUUGUCCUAAUUUUCAAAUCAACCUAAGUUACUGUCCUAAAAAACUCUCGAACUCCUAGGGUUUAGUACAGUACGUAUAAAAGUAUAAUAGCACAUCUAUUAUUAUUUUUAGGGGUAUUAGCCUAUAAAUAUCCGAACUUUUUCUAUUUUCUGAUUUUGCACCCUAACUUUAAAAUUUGCCUGAAAAUACCCGAACUUUAUAUUCUUUCUGAUUUUGCACCCAACGAAUUUUCACCCCCAAAUCGUUAAUAAAAUGGCAGUCGGAUUGAGAGGCAAGUUUGAAUUUCAUAACGAAACAAAUAAGUUUAUUGUCAAUUUGAGAUCUAAAACAUGUAAUUGUAGAUUUGAGAUGUCAAUCCGGCUAUCAUGUUAGCAACAAUUUCGAGGUAAAAUUCGUUGGGUGCAAAAUAAAAAAGAAUACAAUGUUCGAGUAUUUACAGAAAAUUUUUAAAGUUCGGAUGCAAAAUAAGAAAAUGGAAAAAGUUCGGGUAUUUAUAGACCAAUACCCUUUAUUUUUAUAUGAAAGGCGAUGGUAAAAAGAAUUACUAGUAACUACUCCCUCCGUCCCACUCCAAUAUGCUCGUUUUCCUUUUUGGGACGUCUCACUCCAAUAGGCCUAGUCUAAAAUUAGAAAUAAUUAGGGCUCUAAUUAAAAUUAUAACUAGUUACUUAAAGGGGAUAUACACCCCUAAUUAAAACCCUAAAAACUCUCAUUCACGUUUUCCUCCCACCUCUGCUCAAAAUUCUUUGUCGCCACUUCCCAAAAUUUGGCGACUGGUCGCGCCUCAACGGCUCUGAAACUCCGGCCUCUUUUCUCAUUCGGCCCUCUUCCCGAUUCUCCAGAAAUUGCCCACCGGAACAAGCCCUAACUCUAGUAACCUCAAGUGGAACUCAAUUUGGAGCCCUAACUCUCCCCUCUUCCUCAAUCUCAACGGAAACACACAAUUGUGGGAAAAAUGUCGAGCCCCAACUUCUCCGAUCGAGCCUCUCUCUUUCUUCCUCUUGGUUCAGGCAAAGUCGCCUCUGUAACUUCGGACGAAGUCGACGCCGCUCUUCGGCCUGUGAAAUUGUGAAAUUCGCCUCAAUAAUUUAACCUCUUAUUUUUCUAUUUUAUUUCUUUUUUAAAAUUGUGAAAUUCGACUAAUUAUAAAAUAUUUGAUAUGUAUAUCAAAUUAAAGAUCAUGACAAGAGCUUUAACUUGGUAUAAGUUAUGUAAAUAUUGGAUUUAAAAUAUAAAAAUUAUAUUUAUUUAAAAAUUAAAACUUAAGAAAUUUCUCCCCUCCUCCUCCUCCUCUUUUUUUUUUGAAUAAUCUAUUUUUUUUCAAUUUUUUAACUUAUAUUUUUUCUUUUUUACAAUAUCAAUUUUUAUAAUAUGAAUUAUUCUUUAUUAUUUUUAUAUUAAACUAAAUUAUUAUCUUAAAUUAUAGUAUUUUUAAUUAUAUUUAGAUUUUAUAUAAUAAUCAAAUUAAUAUAAAUUUUAAAUAUAAUAAAAUAUAAAAAUAUUUUUCGUGCGUUGCACGAGUGUAAAUGCUAGUUAAUAUAUAUUUUAAAAUUUGAAUUGAUAUAAAAGUAAAUCCAGCAGCCAAAAGGAGUGAAGUGAUCCAAGCUAAUUCGAAAAUCGAUUCGAGAGAAAUGCGAACUUAAUUUCGAAAUACUCGAAGUAAAUCUGAAAAUUUAUCGAAUCGAGCUCGAACUCAAGAUCAAACUAUAUUUGACAUUUGAAAAAUAAGGAGGCACGAUAGAACAUACAACACCAUGUAAUUAAUUAUUUGGUACACGAAUUUAUUUAAUUAAACGCUUAGAGCAUUACUAUAUAACAAUAACAAGAUCAAUGAGAAAGCCUCCGUCAAAAGAAACAUCUCAACAAACUCAUCCAGCAAAAAAUGCAAUAAAAUUGUUUUAAAAAUGGAUAAUUUUCCAAAAAUUCAUCAUCUUUGAGACAACUUUGUUGACACUAUAUUUAAAAACAUUCCAAUAAUAAAAACAAAAUAAAAAAAGCCAAUAUUCAUUAGUAUUUAUUAAGAUUAAGAUAUACAUGCAAGCUAAAACACACAACAUGUUAAUUUACAUUGCAGAUAAGAGCAACCAUUUCUUGUAAGAAAGCAUAGAAACAACUGUAUGAAAAAUGGUUAGUAUGAGAAGCACAGCAGCUGAUAUCUUCAAGUAAUUCCUCCUCACUCUUGCCAUCCAUCUCCCACGUCGAAGCCGUUUGCAUCUGUUCAAACUCUCAAACACAUUUGAAUAGCAAAAAUCUGAUGAUGAACCACAACAUUCUUCCCCAAUCUGUUGAACAUGCUGCAGAUCAUCUCAUCACUGCCUAUGAAGUUGCUGAUGACCCCACUUCGUCGUAGUAUCUCAACAUCUUUGGUGGAUCUGAUGAAACAAUGUAUGAAAAACAAGUAAUCUUUCACAUACCUCGGAUGAUCAUCAGGGAAGAAGCAGAGCUCGUACGCGAUCAAGUUCCUCAACAUGGACUCAGUCUUAUCUGAUAUGCACAAUGUGGGAGUUUAUGACUCCAUUGGCAAAACUGAUAUCCUUAGAGUGAUCCUCUCGACCCGUGUAGCCUAAUCCCGGCCUCCUCCAUCUCCGAGGCAGAGCACGUGUUGUGCACCGUGUUGCUACCGUUGUUUUCAGUGAAGCACUUGGCUGAGAAUGAGAAUGAGAAGAAAGAAUCAUACACUAGGCCUAAUAUAUGCUCAGCAUUGUGCAACAUUUCUGAACUAUAGUCGAGCUUUGAGGAAUCCGGCCAUGGGAGCACGUCUCCGGCUAGAAAGAGGAGGAGAUGGUGUAUGUUAUCGUCUGGAUGUUCCAUCCUUGUCAUGUCGAAAAGCUCGUUCAACACGAAGAAAGGGAGCUGGUUCUCCAACAACAGAAGAUCAUGCCUUAUUUGGACUAACAUGUGAUCAAAUUGAAAUAUUUGAUCACUCAUGUCUCUCAAAUCACUAAACCAAUAGCUUCUCAGCAGCUCAAUCACGAAGCAUCCAUCAAGAAGCAACAUCUCCACGAACUCAUCUUGAUCAAGACUGAUUGAUUUCGCGUAGUAAAGGCGAGCCUUUUCCUCCAUGCUCCUCACUUCCAACACACAUUUCUCAACACUCAACUCAUCCCUUCUUCCUAAUGUUUUUCUUAGAUACCUCAGCUUGUGCUGCUCCAUGGCCUUAACGCGAUCUUUCCCACGAUGGAUUGGGCCUAUAGAGACUAAUUCGGGUUCAAAAUCCUUUUCAUUUACUUGCCUCAGGUGUUGAUCUACUUUGGCUAUGAUAGGCUUUGAGGGAGUGAGAGAAGUAGACAAAUGAUGAAGCAAGUUUUCAAUCCUAACAACAACACAGUCUCUCUCCUCUGUCAUCUUCAAGAAUUAAGCCAAGAAACCAGAAAAUAUAUAUGCUACAAAAGAAGAAAACACCAUAAAAAUAUUAAACAUGUAGCAAUCUACAUAGGUUCAUUUGUUAUUGAAACUUACAAGAUAAACAAAAUGUAGAGCAUACUUACUAGAUUAUCACCAGGGAAUUUGAGUGGCUGAAACACGAACAAAGUUGUACAUUGCAGCUGAUUUCUUC